GUGCUUAACACAUGCAAGUCGAGGGGAAACGACAUUGGAAUCUCGCUUCCGGUGGGCGUCUACCGACCGCACUGGGUGACUAACUCAGUAUCCAACCUGCCCACCAGUUGGGAAUAACCUUGUAAAAGUAAGACUAAUGCGCAAUGACCUUGAAAGAACACAUCUGAUUCUGCUACAUAUUAUCGGUCAUGGAUGGUGAUACGUCCCAUUAUCUUGUUGGCGGGGUAACGGGCCACCAAGGCAACGAUCGGAAGGGGUUCUGACAGGAAGGUCCCCCACAUUGGAACUGAGACACGGUCCAAACUCCUACGGGAGGCAGCAAUGAAGAAUAUUGGUCAUUGGGCGAUAGCCUAAACCAUCCUACUACCAUGCAGGAUGACCGACCUAUGGGUUGUAAACUGCUUGCAUAAUGGAAUAAAGUGAGGCUCGUGAGCUCUUUAGCAUGUACCUUAUGAAUAAAGACCGGCUAAUUCCGUGCCAUCAGUCGCGGUAAUACGGAAUGUCCGGGCGUUAUCCGUAUUUAUAGGGUUUAAAGGGAGCGUAGGCCGCAGGUUAAGCGUGUUGUGAAAUGUAGGGGCUCAAUCUCUGCACCGCAGCGCGAACUGUCUUGCUUGAAUACGCACAACGUGGGCGGAAUUCGUGGUGUAUCGGUGAAAUGCUUAAAUCUCACGAAGAACUCCGAUUGCUAAAGCAGCUCACAGGAGCGCAAUCGACGCUUGAGCUCGAAAGUGCGCGUAUCGGACAGGAUAAGAUAGCUAUGGUAGUCCGCACGGUAAACGAUGGAUGCCCGCUGUUGGCCUGAAUAGGUCAGCGGCCAAGCGCAAGCAUUAAGCAUCCCACGUGGGGAGUACUCCGGCGACGGUGACACUCAAAGGAAUUGACGGGGGCCCGCACAAGCGGAGGCACAUGUGGUUUAAUUAGAUGAUACGCGAGGACACCUUACCCGGGCUAGAUUUGCAGAGGAAGGAUUUGGAGACAAUGACUCCCCUCGGGACCUGUGUGAAGGUGGUGCAUGGUUGUCGUCAGCUCGUGCCGUGAGAUGUCGGCUUAAUCGCCAUAACGAGCGCAACCCCUGUCCUUAGUAGCCAUCAGGUAAGGCUGGGCACUCUGGGGACACUGCCACGGAUAAGGUGUGAGGAAGGUGGGGAUGACGUCAAAUCAGCACGGCCCUUACGUCCGGGGCUACACACGUGUUACAAUGGCAGGUACAGAGAGACGGUAUGAUGCGAAUCAGAUCCAAUCUUUAAAGCCUGUUUCAGUUCGGACUGGGGUUUGCAACCCGACCCCAAGAAGGUGGAUUUGGUAGUAAUUGCGCAUCAGCCAUGGCGCGGUGAAUACGUUCCCGGGUCCUUGUACACACCGCCCGUC
This 1368-nucleotide ribosomal RNA is filed under the name uncultured bacterium. RNAcentral's name for it is "16S ribosomal RNA". It matches the Rfam family "Bacterial small subunit ribosomal RNA", at positions 43 to 1398 of the family's 1533-position model. The record is from RNAcentral.